Molecule: long non-coding RNA, 232 nt
Filed under: Vigna radiata
Lineage: Eukaryota; Viridiplantae; Streptophyta; Magnoliopsida; Fabales; Fabaceae
Description: long non-coding RNA (VRAD_LNC001645)
Source: RNAcentral
CUGUAUCAGUUUAGGAUCCAUGACGUGACUUAUACAUAUAAGGUCAGGGCCAAUAGCCAAGUACGCUCUACUGAGUUCACAAUACUCAAUUACAAUAAAUACAAAACAUUCAUUUGUGAGCAAAAGCUCCUUCAACAAACGCCUAACUUAAGUGUCAAUGCCUUUGGAGGUACCUCCCCCCUCGGUCAAGAUUGAAGUUCACCGAACGACCAAUAUUGAAGGCAACCGAGCG